Molecule: small nuclear RNA, 140 nt
Organism: Artibeus jamaicensis (Jamaican fruit-eating bat)
Lineage: Eukaryota; Metazoa; Chordata; Mammalia; Chiroptera; Phyllostomidae
Product: U4 spliceosomal RNA
Exons: 1
Source: RefSeq, a predicted model, not a curated record
AGCUUUGCACAGUGGCAGUAUCAUAGUCAAUGAGGUUUAUCCAAGGUGCGAUUAUUGCUUAUUGAAAAGAAUCAUUUAUAUCAGUUCCAUGGCUAGCAUUUAAAUGAGAUCAAAAUAUAUUUAUCAUAUAGGGGAUAUAU